CCCUUAGAUGUCCUGGGCCGCACGCGCGCUACACUGAUGCAUUCAACGAGUAUUUCCUUGGCCGAGAGGCCUGGGCAAUCUUUUAAACCUGCAUCGUGAUAGGGAUAGAUUAUUGCAAUUAUUAAUCUUGAACGAGGAAUUCCUAGUAAACGCAAAUCAUCAAUUUGCAUUGAUUACGUCCCUGCCCUUUGUACACACCGCCCGUCGCACCUACCGAUUGGAUGGUCCGGUGAAAUCUCGGGAUUGUGGCCAGUUCACUUUAUUGGGAGUUGGCUGCGAGAACUUGCUUAAACCUUAUCAUUUAGAGGAAGGUGAAGUCGUAACA
RNAcentral lists this ribosomal RNA (325 nucleotides) under uncultured eukaryote. RNAcentral describes it as "partial 18S ribosomal RNA". It matches the Rfam family "Eukaryotic small subunit ribosomal RNA", at positions 1470 to 1796 of the family's 1831-position model. The record is from RNAcentral.